RNAcentral lists this non-coding RNA (810 nucleotides) under Oberea diversipes. Lineage: Eukaryota; Metazoa; Arthropoda; Insecta; Coleoptera; Cerambycidae. The record is from RNAcentral.
AUUAUGUUUAUUAUUUAUAAAUUAGAAAUAAAGUUUUAUUAUUGUUUUAGGGGUUAAAUAAAAUUUAAAAUUUACAUGUAAAUUUUAGUGGGGCAAAAAAAUUUUAUUUAAAUAAUAGAAUAAUUAGGGGUUAUUCGCAGUAGAUAAAUUUAAAUAUUAAUGAAAAUUAGAUUUGGGGAAGAUUUUUAUUAUUAACAAAAUUUGUGCCAGCAGUUGCGGUUAUACAAAUAAUAUAAUUUAAUUCUAUUUAGUAUUAAUAUGUAGGUAAUUAAUAAAUUUUUAGGGGAAAUUUAUUAGGUGAAAUUUUAAUUUUUAAAGGAAUUUAAGAUUGAUUAUUAUUUGAGAAAUUUAAUAAUAGACUAGGAUUAGAUACCCUAUUAUUUUAAAUGUAAAUUUAUACUAGAUUAGUAAUAGUUAGGUUCUUUAAAAUUAAAGAUUUUGGCGGUUUUUUAGUCUAUUCAGAGGAACCUGUUUUGUAAUCGAUAAUCCACGAUUAAAAUAUCUUUUUUUAUUAGUUUGUAUAUCGUCGUAAAUUGGGGAUAUUUUAAAAGAAUAAUAAUAUUCGGAAAAUAUUUUUUAUUAUACAUCAGAUCAAGGUAUAGCUUAUAAAAAAGUAAUAAUGGGUUACAUUUAUUUAAAUAAGGAAAAAUUUGUUGAAAAUAAAUUAGAAUUUGGAUUUGAAAGUAAUUUUAUCGAUAUAGAUAUAAUGAUUAUAGCUCUAAAAUAUGCACAUAUCGCCCGUCGCUUUCAUUUUUAAGGUGAAAUAAGUCGUAACAAAGUAGUCUUACUGGAAAGUGGGUCUAGAUUGAU